This 440-nucleotide ribosomal RNA is filed under the name uncultured bacterium. Its description in RNAcentral is "partial 16S ribosomal RNA". It matches the Rfam family "Bacterial small subunit ribosomal RNA", at positions 338 to 795 of the family's 1533-position model. The record is from RNAcentral.
CCUACGGGAGGCAGCAGUGGGGGAUAUUGCACAAUGGGGGAAACCCUGAUGCAGCGACGCCGCGUGGGUGAAGAAGCGCCUCGGCGCGUAAAGCCCUGUCAGCAGGGAAGAAAAUGACGGUACCUGAAGAAGAAGCCCCGGCUAACUACGUGCCAGCAGCCGCGGUAAUACGUAGGGGGCAAGCGUUAUCCGGAUUUACUGGGUGUAAAGGGGGCGCAGGCGGCGAUGCAAGCCAGGAGUGAAAGGCCGGGGCCCAACCCCGGGACUGCACUUGAAACUGCGUGGCUAGAGUGCAGGAGGGGCAGGCGGAAUUCCUGGUGUAGCGGUGAAAUGCGUAGAUAUCAGGAGGAACACCGGUGGCGAAGGCGGCCUGCUGGACUGCAACUGACGUUGAGGCCCGAAAGCGUGGGGAGCAAACAGGAUUAGAUACCCCUGUAGUC